This 374-nucleotide ribosomal RNA is filed under the name uncultured archaeon. RNAcentral's name for it is "partial 16S ribosomal RNA". It matches the Rfam family "Archaeal small subunit ribosomal RNA", at positions 643 to 1016 of the family's 1478-position model. The record is from RNAcentral.
UAAUCCGGGGAGGACCACCCGGGGCGAAGCGAUCGUUUGGAACGCGCCCGACGGGUGGGGAGCGAAUGCUGGGGGAGCAAAUGGGAUUAGAUACCCGGGUAGUCCCAGCUGUAAACGAUGGGGGGUAGCUCUUGGGCGGGCUUAGAGCCCGCCCAGUGGCGGAGGGAAGCCGUUAAGCCCGCCGCCUGGGGAGUACGGCCGCAAGGCUGAAACUUAAAGGAAUUGGCGGGGGGGCACCACAAGGGGUGAAGCUUGCGGCUUAAUUGGAGUCAACGCCGGAAACCUUACCCGGGGGGACAGCAGGAUGAUGGCCAGGCUAACGACCUUGCCGGACGAGCUGAGAGGAGGUGCAUGGCCGUCGUCAGCUGGUGCGU